Molecule: long non-coding RNA, 542 nt
Organism: Cucumis melo (muskmelon)
Lineage: Eukaryota; Viridiplantae; Streptophyta; Magnoliopsida; Cucurbitales; Cucurbitaceae
Exons: 3
Source: RefSeq, a predicted model, not a curated record
CUAAGCUUUAAUGUCGGUUUUAAACCGACAUUAAAGGUCCGCCAUUUUGAAAACCGACAUUAAAGGUCCAUUUAAUUUUUUUUUAAUAAUUUUAUUUUGUGAAAAAAUAAUAGUCUCUCUCUUACUUUACUCUUUCGACCCUCUCCUACUCGCGCAAUCCCUUUUCUUCUCCAAAUGAAUUCGUCCAUUUCUUCUUCGGCGACUUUUUCUUCUCCGAUGCCCGUUCCUUCUCCGACUUUUUCUCAUUGUUUUUCUCAUCUUCUUUUCUUUUUCUGAAUCCUUCCCAUAUUCAUCCAAAGGCAUGCUCAUCCACUUUCUGUAGAGGGUUUAGGGUCGAAUCACCAUCGCUCUCUAUUUUCUCUUCUUCUUCGAUAGUUCCGUCACUCUCUUCUUAUGGAUUGUUGGUCCCUUUCUCUCCCUCUCGACGACGAGUUCAAGAAGCUCGUCAAUCGUAUGAACCCUCACAGGGUUACCAUUGAUAAUGAUUCCAUCAGAAAAGCUACUCCGAUUAAGGUCUUUUUUUUCUACUUCAAUUAUUAUUU